GACGAACGCUGGCGGCGUGCUUAACACAUGCAAGUCGAACGGAAAGGCCCUGCUUUUGUGGGGUGCUCGAGUGGCGAACGGGUGAGUAACACGUGAGUAACCUGCCCUUGACUUUGGGAUAACUUCAGGAAACUGGGGCUAAUACCGGAUAGGAGCUCCUGCUGCAUGGUGGGGGUUGGAAAGUUUCGGCGGUUGGGGAUGGACUCGCGGCUUAUCAGCUUGUUGGUGGGGUAGUGGCUUACCAAGGCUUUGACGGGUAGCCGGCCUGAGAGGGUGACCGGCCACAGAGGGACUGGGGUACGGCCCAGACGCCAUCGGGAGGAAGCGGUGGGGAAUAGUGCACAAUGGGCGGAAGCGGGAUGGAGCAACGCCGCGUGGGGGAGGACGGCCUUCGGGUUGGAAACCGCUUUCGCCUGUGACGAAGCGUGAGGGACGGUACUGGGGAAAGAAGCACGGGCUAACUACGU
RNAcentral lists this ribosomal RNA (467 nucleotides) under uncultured bacterium. RNAcentral describes it as "partial 16S ribosomal RNA". It matches the Rfam family "Bacterial small subunit ribosomal RNA", at positions 28 to 506 of the family's 1533-position model. The record is from RNAcentral.